AGCUCUGUAAGCGUAUACCAAAGUUGUUGCAGUUAAAACGCUCGUAGUCGGAUUUUAGCGGGCUCGUGGGUGUGCGCGUCAAGCGUGCGUCUAUCGGGUCUGCUUUUGUGGAUGGGGCGCGUGGGCGGCUUCACUGUCGGUCGCGCGCGCCGCCACCGUUUACUGUGAAAAAAUUAGAGUGUUCAAAGCAGGCGUUUGCCGUGAAUACAUUAGCAUGGAAUAAUAGAAUAGGACUUGGUUCUAUUUUGUUGGUUUGUGAGGGCCGAGUAAUGAUUAAGAGGGACGGUUGGGGGCAUUUGUAUUCCGACGUCAGAGGUGAAAUUCUUAGAUCGCCGGAAGACAAACAGCUGCGAAAGCGUCUGCCAAGGACGUUU
This 374-nucleotide ribosomal RNA is filed under the name uncultured eukaryote. RNAcentral's name for it is "SSU rRNA". It matches the Rfam family "Eukaryotic small subunit ribosomal RNA", at positions 587 to 969 of the family's 1831-position model. The record is from RNAcentral.